Molecule: unclassified non-coding RNA, 1322 nt
Filed under: Hevea brasiliensis (rubber tree)
Lineage: Eukaryota; Viridiplantae; Streptophyta; Magnoliopsida; Malpighiales; Euphorbiaceae
Source: RNAcentral
CUCUCUCUCUCUCUCUCUCUUUCUCUCUCGUCAACGUUUAUAUCCGAUACCUAAUUCUUCAAUAAAAUCACCCAAGAAAACCAAGAAUUUGCAGAAACAUUCAUUGGGUACUUUGGUGGGUCAUGUAGCUCCAGGCUUUGCCUUCUUUUUUCUUGGUUUUUGGCACUUGUUUAAUCAUAUCAGACUCCAUGCUCAACAACCCAAUUCUUAUACCUCUUCUCCUUGGUUUCCAACCUCAAAAUUUAGGUACAUAGAGCUUUUCUUGAUUAUGAUAGGGAGCUCUAUCUCUGUAUCUAUGGAGCUGUUUAUUGGUCCUAAGAGACACCAACCCUUUGAUCCUGAUGGAACCAUACCAUCAAACCAUCUUCAUAACUUUGAGCACUCUUCGAUAUCAAUGACUUUCUUUGUAUAUGCAGCUUUUGCAAUUGUUCUUGAUAAAAUUGGGCCAAAGGCUCAAUAUGGUUUAACUCAAUUUCUUGCAGCAUUAGCCUUUGGGCAACAGCUUUUUCUGUUCCAUCUUCACUCAGCUGACCACAUGGGUGUCGAAGGUCAAUACCACUUACUUCUCCAAAUUGUCAUAGUUGUUUCUCUAGCCACCACUCUCAUGGCUAUUGGGCUUCCUAAGAGUUUCAUGGUCAGCUUUGUUAGGUCUUCAAGUAUUAUGUACCAAGGUGUGUGGCUUAUAACCAUGGGGUAUGUGCUUUGGACACCAUCUUUAGUACCCAAAGGUUGCUUUAUUCACUUAGAGGAAGGUCAUCAAGUGGUUAGAUGUUCAGGGGAGGAGAGUCUACACAGGGCUAAAUCACUAGUAAACAUUCAAUUCAGCUGGUUCUUAAUUGGAAUUACCAUUUUUGUGAUGUGCUUCUAUUUGGCCAUGCUCAAAUUCUAUGGUGAACAAAAAAUUGAGUACUCAUCUUUAACAAAAGAAGAUCAGCAGUUGCUAGAAGAAGACUCAGAUGAUGUUGAAUCACAAAAGGGACCCAGCAAAUCAAACAGUUUUAUGCAUAUAGGAAGAAGCUUUGCCCCAGUUGACAUGGAAAGGUAAGAAGAAGAAGAAGAAGAUAGCGGAGAGUUUGAAAGUGAAAUGUGAUUAGGUAUGUGUACAAAUUUAAUACUAGGUUGCUUGGUGGGGUCCCACACUCUUUGUUUAAUUAAGCAUUCAAUAGUGUUUGGUUAAUGAAAAAACAACGACGUGGGAAGAAAGUGUGCUAUUUAUUAGGUCGAAGUUGGCGUGAAAUUAUUUGGCUUGUAUUGAUUUAUGGGUCUUAGAGCUUCAUUUUUUUUUUUUUUAAUUCAUUGAUAUUGUCUCUUAUGUAUGGGGA